This 700-nucleotide ribosomal RNA is filed under the name uncultured bacterium. Its description in RNAcentral is "bacterial SSU rRNA". It matches the Rfam family "Bacterial small subunit ribosomal RNA", at positions 55 to 773 of the family's 1533-position model. The record is from RNAcentral.
AUGCAAGUCGAACGGUGAUAAAGAGCUUGCUCUUUUGAUCAGUGGCGGACGGGUGAGUAACACGUGAGCAACCUACCCUUGACUCUGGGAUAACAGUUGGAAACAGCUGCUAAUACCGGAUAUGAACUCAGCGGGCAUCUGCUGGGUUGGAAAGCUCCGACGGUCAGGGAUGGGCUCGCGGCCUAUCAGCUUGUUGGUGAGGUAAUGGCUCACCAAGGCGACGACGGGUAGCCGGCCUGAGAGGGCGACCGGCCACACUGGGACUGAGAUACGGCCCAGACUCCUACGGGAGGCAGCAGUGGGGAAUAUUGCGCAAUGGGCGAAAGCCUGACGCAGCAACGCCGCGUGCGGGAUGACGGCCUUCGGGUUGUAAACCGCUUUCAGCAGGGACGAAACUGACGGUACCUGCAGAAGAAGCACCGGCUAACUACGUGCCAGCAGCCGCGGUGAUACGUAGGGUGCGAGCGUUGUCCGGAAUUAUUGGGCGUAAAGAGCUCGUAGGCGGUCUGUCGCGUCGGAAGUGAAAACUCGGGGCUUAACCCCGAGCCUGCUUUCGAUACGGGCAGACUUGAGGAAUGUAGGGGAGAACGGAAUUCCUUGUGGAGCGGUGGAAUGAGCAGAUAUCAGGAGGAACACCAGUGGCGAAGGCGGUUCUCUGGACAUUAACUGACGCUGAGGAGCGAAAGCGUGGGGAGCAAAC